RNAcentral lists this unclassified non-coding RNA (392 nucleotides) under soil metagenome. RNAcentral's name for it is "partial contains 5.8S ribosomal RNA, internal transcribed spacer 2, and large subunit ribosomal RNA". The stretch from base 1 to 122 matches the Rfam family "5.8S ribosomal RNA", at positions 35 to 154 of the family's 154-position model. The record is from RNAcentral.
GAUGAAGAACGUAGCGAAAUGCGAUACUUGGUGUGAAUUGCAGAAUCCCGUGAACCAUCGAGUCUUUGAACGCAAGUUGCGCCCGAAGCCAUUAGGCCGAGGGCACGCCUGCCUGGGCGUCACACGUCGUUGCCCCCCCCAUCUACUCCUUCGGGAUUGCGGGGGGCGGAUGAUGGCCUCCCGUGUGCCUCGCCGCGCGGUUGGCAUAAAUGCCAAGUCCUCGGCGACGCACGCCACGACAAUCGGUGGUUGCGAAACCUCGGUUGCCCGUCGUGUGCGGUCGUCGCGCAUCGAGGGCUCGAAAAAAUUGCCGGGCUCCGGCUCGGCUUUCAACGCGACCCCAGGUCAGGCGGGGUUACCCGCUGAAUUUAAGCAUAUCAAUAAGCGGAGGA